Long non-coding RNA from Aedes albopictus (Asian tiger mosquito), 9020 nucleotides. RefSeq lists it as uncharacterized. NCBI's taxonomy places the organism in Eukaryota, Metazoa, Arthropoda, Insecta, Diptera, Culicidae. The transcript has 2 exons. The record is from RefSeq and is a predicted model, not a curated record.
UGGGGUGGAAGGUGGGUGGAAACAGAAGAAGACACAGAAAAAAAGAUCCCAUUAGUAUGCUUCGAAGUUUGGGGGCCUGUUUGCGCGAUAUGCAAAUUGAAAGAGUCAAGAGUCACACAUUUCGUCGCCAAUGCGCCUCUCUGGAAUGGUUCGUGGUUGGUGCUCGUGUUUUUUGGUGAGAUGCUCGCUCGCGUGUUCAUGGAUGGAUGGUAAAGGACGGCCACAUACGAGAUACUACAGCUAAUAGGCGAUGGUUGUGGUGUGAUCCACGGAUAUCUAAAAUCCAGUCUGCGUAGAAAAUGUGACCUAAUCGGUGAAUCGAGCAUUACCGUUCCAGAACGGGUUGUUUCUUUUUGGCAAAUGAAAACAAACCAAAUCCGGUUCGGAAACCAGUUUCACGGUUGGUUAAUAUUCGGGUGUGAAAUUAGAUGAUAAAAAUGGGUAAAAAUAGAAACACGGAAACAACAGAAACAAAACAAAAGUUUUAGAUUUAUAUGGUGAUAUCAGAAGCAGCGAACGAGCGGACAAAGAUGAGCGACUGACGCUAGUAUAUAAUAGUUAUUUAUGUGACGAGUUGCAAUAAGUGUAUUUUUUCAGCACGAGUUGUACAUUUAUCCAACGAGGCUUGCCGAGUUGGAUAAAUACAAAGAGUGCUGAAAAAACGAGUUUUGCAACGAGUUCCAUACAAAAUUUUAUGCAAUGAUUUUUUCAUAAUGCAACCCAUUUGAGUUGCAUAAUGUUCAUAAUGCAACUCAAAUGAGUUGCAUUAUGAACAUUAUACAACUAUUUUUCAUUAUGCAACUCAUUUUAGUUGCAUAAUGAACCAGUUCGAAAAAAUGGCCAUUAUGAUAUCAAAAUGAGUUAAAUAAAAUAUAAAUUAUGAUACUGAAUUGCAUAAAAUGCUAUUUGAUAUGGACAGUGGUUCUCGAUUGGGUUUCAGGAGCGUCGUUUUAACUUAUGAAACAUUAAUAUGUGAUUGCAUUCCGUUACAUCACCCAAUUCCAAUCAUUUUUUUUUUUGAACGGAAGCGGGAAUCGAAAAGUGAUUAAAAUUAUUUCCAUUUGAUUCUAAUUUUUCUAUUUGGGAUUGUUGUUUAAGCUCACAAUUUUACAAUACUAUAAAGAAAAGAAGACGAAAAUAGCAAAAAGCACGCUUAUCACUAGAGAAAUCCUGGACGAAAACCCUAGAACGAUCCCUGAAGAAUCUCGAGAACAGGAAUUCCAAAACUAUUUCUUGGUGAAAUCCCUAGAAAAUCCAUAAAGAAUCUCUUGAGAAAUGCCCAGAGAAAUCCCUGGAGGAUUUAUGGGAAAAUCCUUAGAGAUAUAUUCCUGGAAUAAUUUCACCGGAGGAGUUUUUGAAUAAUCCAUCGAGAAUUCUCUAGAUAAAUUCCUUGAGGAAUCUCUCGAAAAAAAAAAUCCCCAGAGGAAUUUCCUGAUGAAUGUAUGGAGAAAUUUCUAGAGAAAUCCCAGAAGAUAUCCAAAGGAGGAAUCCCUAGAAAUAUUCUUGAAUAAAUCCCAGUGGAUUACUGAAUGAAUACCGCAAUGAAUUCUUACUGGAAACCCAGCAGGAUUCCUUGGAAAAAGCCCCGAAUGGAAAUCAUUGGAAAAUCAAAGGAGGACUCUCUGGAGGUACACUAGCAGGAAUACCUGGAGGAAUCUUAACUGGAAUUCUCAGAUGACAUUGUAACAUUUUUGGAGGAACCCCAGUCAGAAUUUGAAGAGAUAUUACAAGAGGAAUCCUUCGAAGGAAUUCCUUAAAAAACGUCUUCGGACGAAUUCCUUAAGUGGUCACAUACCUUGUGGGGAUAAAAAAAACUAACUCUUUUAUUGCAUAAUCUGAAAAUAUACUAGCUAGACAAUAUACAUUCCAAAUUGAAAUUUCAUAAAUAUUGGAGCACUAGAACCAAAGUUACAGUUCAUUGUAGCGCACACCCUUCACAAGGUAAAGUUUCGCGCUAUAAGAAAAGUUUACCGUUCAAUACAAAGAAUUCGACACUGAUUUUUCAUUUGGGUCUAACUGACAUUUUCGAGUUCUCUUCAUCGAUCCUCUCUUUGUGUUAUCACAGAAUGUGUGUUGAGUUUUCCAAAGUUUUUUUGGUUCGCAUUUGAAGAAGACGACUACAUGUUGCUAUAGAAACAAAAAGAAAAAUGAUUUUGUUUGUUUUGAUUAAGUUAUUAGCGAAAGAGAGAGUCGACGAAGAGAAAUCGAUCAAGUCAGUUAGGCCCUUAUGAAAAACCAUUGUCGAAUUGAGUUUUUAAGAUAUCGUGAUCACCAUAACGGCACCUUUAUAAAAACACCAUUUCGAGAUAAACGCGUGUAAAGGUUUGCGCUUUGCCUUAUCCUUAUGGAUGGUGCGCGCUACAAUGGCCUGUAGAUUUGGUGCUAGUGCUCCAAUAUUUAUGAAUUUUUUACCCCUUAACAAAUUCGUCCGGAGACUUUUUUUUUAGAAAUUCCUUCCAAGGAUUCCUCUGUAAUAUCACUUGAAAUUCUGACUAGGGUUCCUCCAAAAGUUUUCAUCUGAGAAUUCCUGCUAGGUGCUCUUGGAGCAACUCCUGGAAGAAUCACAGAAGGACCGUAUCUGGAGGAAUUCCAUCAGGAACAACUGGGCAAAUCCCAGCAGUGAUAACUAGAAGAAUCUCAGUGGGAGUUUAUGAAGCAAUUCUAGCUGGCAUUCUUGGAGGAAUUCUAGUAAGAAUAUCUGAAAGAAUCUUAGUGGCAAUUUCUGAACGUUUCAAAGAAUUAAUCCUCGAAAAAAAAAAUCUUUGAGGGAAUUCCUUAAGAAACCUCGGAGAAACCCCUUGAAAAUCACUGGAGGAAUCACUGAGGGAAUGAUAUCAGCAGUAACAUCUCAGCAGGCAGGACGAGAACUUCUGAAGGGAUUCCAGCCAACACUUCCUUGAAAAUCCCUGCAGAAAUUACUAGAGUAUUGCAGAUCAAGAAUUCCUGGAGGAAUCCUAGCAGGUUUUUCUCGGAGGAAUUACAAAAUAGAGGAGAAAUUUCUAUUGCCUAGAGGAAUUCUAUCAAGUAUUGGAUGAAUCCCAGUCAGAAUUUCAAUAGGAAUCACAAGAGGAAUCCAUAGAAAAAAUCUCAGAGGAAUUUCUGAAGAAAUCCUGUUACUGGUAUCAUACCACAACACGGUCGCAUGGCCCAUCUAUAUAGAUGUUUGACGCGAUCAGGAUUUAUACUAAUAUUGAGGGAAUGUGUACGGUGGACUAUCGGUUUAAUAAAACGAAACCAGAAAACGAAAAGAGGCAAAGUCCCAUCAAAUUGCGGGAAAGAGAGUGGUUUCCGAAAGGAAACAGACACUUUUAAUAACCACGCUUGUGGUAGCAGCAAAAGCCGAUAGUCCACUGCACACAGACACCCUAGGUUAAGGUUGCUGCCAUCACGGUUGGAGAGCGGAGAGCAGAGUCUCGUUGGACGAACCGCUGCACCGAACCCAUAUACCGAACCCAAGUGUGAGUCCCGUGUAUCCAUGCGUACGAUCGAGAGGUACAAAAAUCCGUGUGUCGAGUGCUCUACGCAGUUUUCGAGAAAGCUGGAAAUAGUUAUACAGAUAGCGCCCAAGAACGAUUGGAGUGUCUGCAGUGAAAAUUGCAAAUAUUGCGGCCAAUAUAGACCAGUUUCCAUGACGGUUCCCAAGUUUCGGGGAAGUAUUAUCGGUGGUCGGGCCAAGAAACUCGAAGAACGCCCAGUUAAGGUCCGAAGUGAUGGGAACGUGGAUGACCGUAGUGAGUGGGAAGUUGCGCCACGUGGACCCACAGGGCGGUCCCGUUUAGUGGAUCAGUAGUUUUGGAAUUCGAGUUCUAGAGCGAGUCCGAAGGACCACGGUAGAAAACGUUAAGUGCAUGGUGGGAUUAAGUAGCGGGCGUCUACAGACCCGUUCUUGAGCAGUAGCAGUGUUCCCGGUCGGAUAGAGGUGAGCCGGAUCAAGUGACAUUCGCCCGUGGAAGAGGUGUGGCCCAGGUGCAUGGGGGCCCGAGGAAGCUAAAUCGAAUAGCGGAGUGGUGAGCUGGAAGAUUAGAAGAUUGGAAGUGAAAAGUGUGAUGGAGAGUCGUGGCAGCAUUAGUUGGGUUCGGUGAAGAGCGGUAUCAGCGAUAACGGAGGCGAGACACGGCGUGGUAGCAGGUGGCCCCAACGUGAACGCGUGUGCACAAACUACAGGGGAUGGCCAAAAUGUUUGGGAUAGGCAACUUUUUUUCUCCCACAAAAAAAUUCAACAUGCUAUAACUUUUUAUUGAGUGCAUCAAAAAAUCCCAAAUUUGACUCUUUGUCAACCUAUUAUAUGUGCAUCAUUGGUACAAAUUUGGACUCGAUUGAUUAAUAUUUCGCAAAGUUAGAACCGUUCGGGUAAAACACUAUUUUUUAGACAACCAAUUUUUGAAAUGUCAUAUCUCGGAAACCAGUGAACCGAAUUGAAUGAAUUUUUUAACGUUUAUCAACAAUAUAUUGAUAAUUAAUACGACGUUAUAAAAUGUAAUAUUUUCGCACGGCGAAUUAAGUUAUACCGGGUUGAAAUGUUUACCCAUAUAUAGGAAAAUAAGUCAAAUUUACAAUACCACACAAAAAUUAUUUAAUGUGUUCUCCCUUAAACCUAAAUAGGUUCUAAUAUAUCUGAUUAGAGGUUAUUUGAGAACAGAAGUGGAAAAUCUUUGGAUAUCAACACUAAAAUUUAUUGACAUUAAUGUAAAAAAAUUACAUUUUUUUGAGAAAAUCCAAAAAGUGUCAAUCUAUGAUAACCUUUUUCAACGUUUAAAAAUUACCUAUGUUUUAAUAGUUUGCGAAGCAUUUACAUAUUGUUAGUGUACGUUCAAAAUUUUAUUCAAUUCGGUUCACUGGUUUCCGAGAUAUGACAGCUCAAAAAUUGGUUGUCUAAAAAAUAGUGUUUUACCCGAACGUUUCUAACUUCGCGAAAUAUUAAUCAAUCGAGCCCAAAUUUGUACCAAUGAUGCAUAUAUAAUAGGUUGACUAACAGUCAAAAUUUGAGAUUUUUUGAUGCGCUCUAUGAAAAGUUAUAGCAUGUUGAACUUUUUUGUGAGAGAAAAAAAAGUUGCCUAUCCCAAACAUUUUGGCCAUCCCCUGUAUAUUGUAAAUGGGGGGGGGGGGGGGGGGAAUUGGAAAUAAAAGCAUGCUUGCCAAGAUAUCGUUAGAAGAGUCAAGAAAGUGGUCUAGUUUUGGAGAAAGAAGUUUUAUAUCCGUUACAGGUCCAACCCACAAGAGUCAGAAGAGAGCAUUCGAUAAGUGGAAGUUUGAUCCAUACUGUAAUUCUUAUUUAUCGGUUCAGUAGUAAUUUCGAAUGGUAACAAUCCUAGCAGGAACAAUCUCAGGACAAUUUUUUUUUUAAGAAUUCCAUGGGAUAUUCCAGUUGAAACCCCAUGGUAGAAUCUUCGGUAAAAUCAAAGAAGGAACUGGAAGAAGCUCAGUAAUCAUAUCUGGAAUUCUUGGAAAAAAAUACUUGAAGGAACUCCUGAAGAAAUCCUUGGUUAAAUCCCUUGAAAAUUCCAAGAGGAAUACUAGCAGGAAUUCCUUCAAAAUCCCUGGAAAAAUCUCUGGAUGAAUUCCCUAAGGAAGCUUUGAAGAAGUUAAAGGAUUUUCGGGAAAAAUUCCAACCACAAAUUUUCGAAUCAAUUCCAGCAAGCAUUCCUAUAGGAAUCUUAAAAAAAUCUCAGUAGGAGUUUCUAGAUAAAUAACAGAAGAUAUCUUUGUAAAAAAAAAGAAUUAAAUCCUUUGGAAUCGUUGGUAAGAUCCUUUGGAAACCCCAGGAGGAAUACUAGCAGGAAUUCUAGGAGGAAUUCCUGGGAAAUCCCAGGAAAAGCCUCUGGAGAAAUUCCCUCCUAAGGAAUCUUUGAAGAAGUUACAGGAUUUUUAUACAUACCAAUGCCUAAAAAAAUCCAUAACGAAUUUUCAAAUCAAAUACAGCAAUCAUUUCUGAAGGAACCUUGGUAGAAAUAACUGAAAGAAUCCCAGUAGAAGUUUCCAGAUAAAUAACUGAAGGAACACUAGAGAAAAACUUUUGGGUGAAUUCCUGGAGAAAUUACACAAGGUAUUUCUGCCCAGCAGGAAGUCCAUCAGAAACUUCUACGUAAAUCCCAGCUGACAUUCCUGGGUGAAUCUCACCAUCUCACCAGACUCUCCACUAGGCUGCGGCUUAUUUUUGAAAAGUUGUUGAAACCUGGAAUUCAUAAGCUGUUUUGGAUGCAAAUGACAUAAAAAGAGAAGCCGCUGCGUUUGAGCCAAAAAUAUUAAUGGUACCGUUAUAGUUACGCGUGAGAGUGGGAGUGCGCGUGUGCGAAGCCGAACAGAAAAAUAUCAACAAUAGCAAAUCCACGAAAAUCUUAUGGACGCGCACUCUCACUCUCACUUUGAAGCGGCACUAUGGCAGCGCGGUAAGAUUUAGAGGUGGCACAAUCGCCUCAAAGCUGAAUUUUCGAAUUAUAAAAAUAUUCAGCCGAUUUUCAUUUUUUUAUGAAUCUCUCGCAAAUAAAAUUUCGAAUAAACUUAUAGAACAUUAUUUUUUCCAAAGUCCCGCAAAAUAUGAGUUUUUAAAGAUUUAAUUUAUUGUUUUCUUCUUUUAACAUAAAAAAUUACUUUUGGGCUCGAUAACUUCAGUUUGAUAGACUGGAACCAAUUUGUGAUUGAGGGCGACUUCUGGGGGAUCGGAUUAAAAUAAAUUGUCGGGAGUCGGGUACGUGAAGGUUAACCGAUAGUAUACGCAAAAAUAGACCAUUUGGUGAUAAAAAAAGUCAAAUUCGUCAAAAAAUAACAUUGGACAAUUAUGCUGCAUAUGGCAGAUUAGGGUUCAUUCAAAUAUUACGUAACGCAAAAUUUAACUAUUUUAGACCCCCUCCCUCCCCCACGUAACAACUUUUGUAUGGGAAAUUUUUAAAUUUUGUAUGAAGCGUAACACAGCGCUAGACCCCCUCCCUCCCCUAUUAGCGUUACGUAAUAUUUGAACGAACCCUUAUGGCAACAAACUUUUUUUUUUGUUUGUUUAGAAACAUGUAUUCUUUGAAAGCUAAAUAAAACUUCAACCGGUGAGGAUGUUCAAACUAUGAAUCAACGGGAUACCUUUUGACGCCUUUGAAAAUAUCGUAUCCAAUAGGCUAGAGGAACAGGUUCACCUAACGUGAAUGAGGAUGAAGCAUCUGUCAAAUUUAGCACUUUUUCUAUAUGAAGAUCUACUUUUUCUCUGGUGGUCAAUUCAUCUACAUUCAUCCAGUUCCCCUAGCCUAUUAACGCCGUGUUACCAUAUGACUCUCAUAACUAUUUUUGUUUGUCUUUAUUAAAGAGAUUAUUAGCCUUUUUUGCUUUGAACACUUAGCACGGAGAUGAACCAGCCUAGGGUUGAAAAUUUCUUUUAUUCAUUCAUUGGUAGGCGUGAACUUGGCUUUGAGCAAAAAUUGAUGUUGACAUAAACAUUUUAUUUUAAAAAAGCAUAUUUUUAUGGGAGUCAGAUGAUUUUCAAAGAAAUUGCCUACCAUUAGGCGUUAUAUGAGAGUAAAUUCGUAAUUUAUCGAACAUUAUUUUACUGUUUACAGCUGUGCUCAUAAAAAAGCAAUGAAAGCCGUUUUCAUACAAAAUGGCCAACUUUGGCAUGAUGUAACUUUGUUCUCCUAUGACCGAUUGAACUGAAAAUUUGACAACGAACUACAAAUAUGGUGAAUAUUGAUUUUGAUAUAAGAGAAUUUUUGAAGCACGUAGAAAAAAAGUUGAACACUAUGUGAAAUUGAUCAAAAUAAUAGCAGAUUUUUUUCAUUCAGCAAAUCUUUUCAAAAUUUUUAAAUGUUAACAUCAACUUGUAACCAAGGCGAAAACUGUUUAAAUAGCGUUCAACAUUUUUUUGGUUUUUCAAAGUUUCUACAUUUCUACAUUUCAAUUUAUUUACACUGCUAUUAUUUUGAUCAAUUUCACAUAAUGUUUAACUUUUUCUCACGAGCUUUGAAAAUUUUCAGAUUUAACUAUAACCAUAUUCACCAUAUUUGUAGUUCGCUGUCAAAUUUUCAGCUCAAUCGCUCAUAGGAGGACAAAGUUACAGCAUGCCAAAGUUGGCUUUUAACGGAUUACACUGCUAUUUUUGUGAAUACAGUUGUACAUAUGAAUUACAUCAGUUCCACGAAUUUUAAAACCUUAUCCAGAUUUAGCACCAUCAGUUUAGUUUGCUCAAUAAUUUUACAAUCCUAGAAUAUUAUGUCAUUGUUUGAUUAACUUCACCUGGAAACAAAAUUUUUAAAUUUGAUCAUUUGGACAUGUUUACAAAACGGUGCAAUUUAUUUUAAGGAUGUUGUUUACGUUACUUAAUGCUGGCCCCUUCAGUACCAAUAUGUUUUAAAAAUACUUGAGUGGAAUCAUAUGUAUGCAUUGUGCCUUGUUUUAUUGGAAAGAACAGAUAAAAAGUGACCAACUUUCCCCCAGGUUACGGUACACAUCCGUAAUAAAAAUUUUGGAGUAAUUUUUGCAGAAUGUCAAUAGAAGAAUAAUUUGAGAAGUUUAAACAACAUUGUUAAAAGGAUUCCUCCAGUAAUACAUCUGUGAUUUACAUAAUAGGGAAAAAUUGUGUAUUUUCGGCAAUUUUGUUCUCUUCGUCAUGGAAGAUUUUUUGAAAGUUGUUGAACUCAUAGUUGGGCUCAAAUCCUUCCCAACCAAGCUCAAUUAUAUGCCCAAGUUUCAGGAAAAUUGGUCGACAAAAACCUAUCAUGACGAAGAGAACAAACCUGCCGAUAAUACCCAUGGUCACCCUAAUUCAACUAAAAUUCUUAUAGUUUGGCAAAAACUCUUUCAGAAACGGUUAUUUUUUAAAUGUUUUUUUUCAGGAAUUUUCAUAAAAAAUGUCAAGUUGUUAUAAAUAAAAUUGAUUUUAAAACACAACACCCAUAGAUCGCAACCCAGCCGUUGAGAACCACUGUGAAAAAUGUUAAUGCUUCUAAUAAGCUGCGCAUGGUGAGAAAAGUUCGCUAGAGAAAAAAAAACAAGGCGAUGUGCAUUCGGCGCUCUUUCUGUGGGAUCUCUCUCCAUUCCGUCUC